GAGGAUAUGAUGACCCUUUCCUCAGAUGAUUGACAAUGAACAUAUUGAGCACUAUAAUUUCUCAUAUGAGAAAACCAUACCAGAAUUGUGAUCCUU
Non-coding RNA from Zea mays, 96 nucleotides. Lineage: Eukaryota; Viridiplantae; Streptophyta; Magnoliopsida; Poales; Poaceae. The record is from Rfam.